Long non-coding RNA from Pongo pygmaeus (Bornean orangutan), 589 nucleotides. RefSeq lists it as uncharacterized. The transcript has 3 exons. The record is from RefSeq and is a predicted model, not a curated record. NCBI's taxonomy places the organism in Eukaryota, Metazoa, Chordata, Mammalia, Primates, Hominidae.
CCUCACUCCAGCUUCCCUGGCCUCUGUGCCUUUCCUGCUGGCACAAGGACACUUGACAUUGGGUUUAGAGCCCACCCGAGGCCAGGGAGUUCUCAUCCCAAGAUCCCCACCUUAAUUCCAUCUGCAAAGAGUGCUGAGGACACAGCGUGAGAGAGAAAAGGACAGACGCCUCCUUCUUUCUGGAGCCUGGAUGGGGCGGACGGGCACGGGGGAAGCCUCAGCCACUGUCUACUCAGAUUUCCACACACCACUGCCGAGUGGCCUCCUGUUCUCUGUGUUUGUGUCUCCUCUUCUGCCUCUUAGAAGGACACCUGUCACUGGAUUUAGGGCCCUUCCAGGUACUCCAGGAUAAUAUCAUCUGCUGGAGAUCCCUUCCUUGAUCACGACUGCGAAGACCCUAAUUCCAAGCGGCUGGACUUGCUCCCUGAUACCCCCAACCUGCAGACACGUGGCCUUGGAUUCAAGCGGGGCUGGGUUCCUCGGCCUCUGCCAGGCCACCCCACCCUCCCCCAGCUCCCGGCAGAGACCAGCACCCAAAACACUGCAGGCCGGCAGAACUGGAGAUCAGCAGACCCCAGAGGUGUAGACC